RNAcentral lists this ribosomal RNA (402 nucleotides) under uncultured bacterium. Its description in RNAcentral is "bacterial SSU rRNA". It matches the Rfam family "Bacterial small subunit ribosomal RNA", at positions 355 to 774 of the family's 1533-position model. The record is from RNAcentral.
UGGGGAAUAUUGCACAAUGGGGGAAACCCUGAUGCAGCAACGCCGCGUGAGUGAUGACGGUCUUCGGAUUGUAAAGCUCUGUCUUCAGGGACGAUAAUGACGGUACCUGAGGAGGAAGCCACGGCUAACUACGUGCCAGCAGCCGCGGUAAUACGUAGGUGGCAAGCGUUGUCCGGAUUUACUGGGCGUAAAGGGAGCGUAGGUGGAUAUUUAAGUGGGAUGUGAAAUACUCGGGCUUAACCUGGGUGCUGCAUUCCAAACUGGAUAUCUAGAGUGCAGGAGAGGAAAGUAGAAUUCCUAGUGUAGCGGUGAAAUGCGUAGAGAUUAGGAAGAAUACCAGUGGCGAAGGCGACUUUCUGGACUGUAACUGACACUGAGGCUCGAAAGCGUGUGGAGCAAACA